This 981-nucleotide long non-coding RNA is filed under the name Erythranthe guttata (spotted monkey flower). RNAcentral describes it as "long non-coding RNA (EGUT_LNC003791)". Lineage: Eukaryota; Viridiplantae; Streptophyta; Magnoliopsida; Lamiales; Phrymaceae. The record is from RNAcentral.
CUAUGAUUGGUUUGUAGAAAAUGGUAGGUAAAAUUGUGAAAAGUCAAAGUAAUCUACUUUUCUUGUUUGGUUAAAAUGUAAAAUACUGGGUAAAGUAAUUUGUAGAAAAUGGGGAAAACUUUUUUAACCUAAAAUAGGGAAAAUGCAUUUUCCUCCAAAAUAAUGAGGAAAACUAGGAAAAGAGAUCGGGUGUUCUCCACAUCCACACAAUUUCUUCAAUUCGUCACUGUCAUUCCAACCGACCGCGGACCGCCGUCGACCGCACCUGCCUCCGCCGUCGGCUCCACCUCCACCACCACCGGACCCUCAACGCCAUCAACCGCCACAACCAACAUCCUCUCUCUGCAUUCACUCUCAAUUGGACCACGGCCACCAGCAACCUCUUCGCCGCCGCCGGAAACCUUCGCUCCGCCACUGUACCUCUCAAUCUUCCAUCUGAUUCAGGAAUUUUCCGGCCUUGAUGGGAACCGCCGGUCGGUUAUUGGAUGAUAACGCCGUACACCUAAUUUUUUUUCCUUUUUCUGUGUCAAAAUUUUUUUUUUCUUUUUAUUUGGGUUACUAGGCUAGGGUGGUGGAGGUGGGGGCGUGAGUGGUGCUGGUGGUGGUGAGAGGUGGGGGCGUGAGUGGUGCUGGUGGUGGUGAGAGUUGGGGCCGUGAGUGGUGGUGGUGGGGGUGGUUUGCGGGGUGCCUUGGUGGUAGAUUUAUUUUAUUAUUCUUUUUUUUUUUUAAUAUUUUAUUAUUCCUUUUAAGUGGAUUUAUUUAAUUUUUAUUUCUUUCUUUUUUUGGAGAAAUUGUUUUGUACUUUUUCGUGAUAUUAACAGAUAUUUGUAUUGGUUUAAUUUUAAUUUUUACUAUUUCAUAAAAAAAAUCUAAGAAUACAUUAUAUUUUUCACAGUUUUCUUGAAAUUGCCAAACAAAACUAAAGAAAGUGAUUUUCAACAAAAUGAUUUUCAUCUUUUUUCCUUGUAACCAAACAUAAAU